UACGGAGGGGGCUAGCGUUGUCCGGAAUUACUGGGCGUAAAGCGCACGUAGGCGGCUUUGCAAGUCAGAGGUGAAAGCCCGGGGCUCAACCCCGGAAUUGCCUUUGAGACUGCAUCGCUAGAAUUGUGGAGAGGUAAGUGGAAUUCCGAGUGUAGAGGUGAAAUUCGUAGAUAUUCGGAAGAACACCAGUGGCGAAGGCGACUUGCUGGACAUAUAUUGACGCUGAGGUGCGAAAGCGUGGGGAGCAAACAGG
RNAcentral lists this ribosomal RNA (253 nucleotides) under uncultured bacterium. RNAcentral describes it as "partial 16S ribosomal RNA". It matches the Rfam family "Bacterial small subunit ribosomal RNA", at positions 524 to 776 of the family's 1533-position model. The record is from RNAcentral.